This 257-nucleotide ribosomal RNA is filed under the name uncultured bacterium. RNAcentral describes it as "partial 16S ribosomal RNA". It matches the Rfam family "Bacterial small subunit ribosomal RNA", at positions 524 to 776 of the family's 1533-position model. The record is from RNAcentral.
UACGUAGGGGGCUAGCGUUGUCCGGAAUCAUUGGGCGUAAAGAGCGUGUAGGCGGCCCGGUAAGUCCGCUGUAAAAGUCAAAGGCUCAACCUUUGAAUGUCAGUGGAUACUGCCGGGCUAGAGUCCGGGAAGAGGCGAGUGGAACUCCUGGUGUAGCGGUGGAAUGCGCAGAUAGUCAGGAAGAACACCAACGGCGAAGGCAGCUCGCUGGGACGGUACUGACGGCUGGAGACGCGAAAGCGUGGGGAGCGAACAGG